RNAcentral lists this ribosomal RNA (440 nucleotides) under uncultured bacterium. RNAcentral's name for it is "partial 16S ribosomal RNA". It matches the Rfam family "Bacterial small subunit ribosomal RNA", at positions 338 to 795 of the family's 1533-position model. The record is from RNAcentral.
CCUACGGGUGGCAGCAGUGGGGAAUAUUGCACAAUGGGGGAAACCCUGAUGCAGCGACGCCGCGUGAAGGAAGAAGUAUUUCGGUAUGUAAACUUCUAUCAGCAGGGAAGAAAAUGACGGUACGUGACUACUAAGCCCCGGGUCACGACGUGCCAGCAGCCGCGGAAAUACGGAGGGGGCAAGCGGUAUCCGGGUUGAAUGGGUGUAAAGGGAGCGUAGGUGGGUUAGCAAGUCCGACGUGAAAGCCCGGGGCUCAACGCCGGGACUGCUUUUGAAACUGUUGAACUAGAUUGCAGGAGAGGUAAGUGGAAUUCCUAGUGUAGCGGUGAAAUGCGUAGAUAUUAGGAGGAACACCAGUGGCGAAGGCGGCUUACUGGACUGUAAAUGACGCUGAGGCUCGAAAGCGUGGGGAGCAAACAGGAUUAGAUACCCGGGUAGUC